AUACGGAGGGUGCAAGCGUUACUCGGAAUCACGGGGCGUAAAGCGCGCGCAGGCGGCGAUUUAAGUUGGAUGUGAAAGCCUACGGCUCAACCGUAGAACUGCAUCCAAAACUAUUUAGCUAGAGUGUGGGAGAGGAAGAUGGAAUUAGUUGUGUAGGGGUAAAAUCCGUAGAGAUAACUAGGAAUACCAAAAGAGAAGGCAAUCUUCUGGAACACUACUGACGCUGAGGCGCGAAAGCGUGGGGAGCAAACGGGAUUAGAAACCCCAGUAGUCC
Molecule: ribosomal RNA, 274 nt
Filed under: uncultured bacterium
Lineage: Bacteria
Description: partial 16S ribosomal RNA
Rfam family: Bacterial small subunit ribosomal RNA
Source: RNAcentral